RNAcentral lists this ribosomal RNA (371 nucleotides) under uncultured organism. RNAcentral describes it as "bacterial SSU rRNA". It matches the Rfam family "Bacterial small subunit ribosomal RNA", at positions 526 to 896 of the family's 1533-position model. The record is from RNAcentral.
CGUAGGAUGCAAGCGUUAAUCGGAAUUACUGGGCGUAAAGCGUGCGCAGGCGGUUAUGUAAGACAGGUGUGAAAUCCCCGGGCUUAACCUGGGAACUGCAUUUGUGACUGCAUAGCUAGAGUACGGUAGAGGGGGAUGGAAUUCCGCGUGUAGCAGUGAAAUGCGUAGAUAUGCGGAGGAACACCGAUGGCGAAGGCAAUCCCCUGGACCUGUACUGACGCUCAUGCACGAAAGCGUGGGGAGCAAACAGGAUUAGAUACCCUGGCAGUCCACGCCCUAAACGAUGUCAACUGGUUGUUGGGUCUUCACUGACUCAGUAACGAAGCUAACGCGUGGAGUUGACCGCCUGGGGGAGUACGGCCGCAAGGUUG